UCUUCCCAAGUGACACUGCCGUGUAUGGGAGAGGGACCUAAUACCCUCUAUGUUUUUCCAAUUCUAAUGUUGUCUUGGAUAUUCCAUUGAUAGCUUCAUUCAGUUCCGCCAUUGAAACUUUUUCUUCUUCUUCUUCUUCAUCACAAUUCUAGGAGUUGUGUUUGUUUAUUUGAUUCCCAUCUAAGUAUGCCAAGAAAAGAGGAAGUGGUUGAUACUGGGCAUGGCAAGACAUCAUCCCCGAGGUUGAUGUCUACAAAUUGGAUCCUUGGUUUUUACCAGAUUCUUGUUUUCUUCUUUCAGAGAUACAAACAUAUGGUCCGGAGUGGUUCUUCUUCUCUCCUCUUUAUAAAAAGUACCGAAAGCGCAAUCAAUUACAGAGGACAACAAAUGUUGGCUACUGGAAACCCACCGGUCCGGCUCGUGAUAUCAAGCGUGGGGUCACCGAAGAGGUGAUCGGUACCAAGAAAACUUUGGUUUUCCAUAUGGGCGGUGGCCAUGGCCAUGCGGACGUCACUACUGGCUGGGUUAUCCACGAGUAACGCGCAUGUAUGGAUGGCCUCCCUUCCUGCCAGUGUAUGCUAUCCCUCUCUUACUCACCGUUUUUUUACACUUGUAAUUAAGGGUUAAGGCACAUUUUUAUUGCUUUAUUUAAUAUUUAAAUUAAUGACUUUUUGUUUACUUUUUUAAAUAAUAUUUUUAAAAAUAAUUUCAUCCAUGAUUUAUUUUGUA
Vitis vinifera (wine grape) is the source of this 729-nucleotide long non-coding RNA. RefSeq lists it as uncharacterized. The transcript has 2 exons. NCBI's taxonomy places the organism in Eukaryota, Viridiplantae, Streptophyta, Magnoliopsida, Vitales, Vitaceae. The record is from RefSeq and is a predicted model, not a curated record.